RNA transcript from Brassica napus (rape), 1624 nucleotides. It is a transcript of the gene named probable inactive purple acid phosphatase 28, with no coding region annotated. The transcript is spliced from 6 exons. The record is from RefSeq and is a predicted model, not a curated record. NCBI's taxonomy places the organism in Eukaryota, Viridiplantae, Streptophyta, Magnoliopsida, Brassicales, Brassicaceae.
AACUAUUUUAGAAAGUCGUAGGAUUCUCGAUCUCUCUCCGUCUAGAAAACAGUGGCGAAGAAGAAGGAAGUGAGAAUGAGCUGUGCAACCGUAACUGUGAACUGGAAACACACUAUCCUCUACCUAACCCUAAUCAUAUCUCUUCUCUACUCGAUCGAAACCCUCAUCUCGCACAAACUACACGUCAACCACAACCAAAUCCGCCUCAAAAGGUCUCCGAAUCUCCCUCUACGGUUCCGCGACGACGGCACCUUCAAAAUCCUCCAGGUCGCGGAUAUGCAUUUCGGAAUGGGGAGCAUUACUCGAUGCAGAGAUGUGGCGGAUGCAGAAUACGGUUACUGCUCUGAUCUCAAUACCACUCGGUUCCUUCGGAGGAUGAUUGAAGCUGAGAGACCCGAUCUCAUCGCAUUUACUGGGGAUAAUAUAUUUGGAUCAAGCACUACUGAUGCAGCGGAGUCUCUUCUUCAAGCCAUUGGUCCGGCUAUUGAAUAUGGAAUCCCAUGGGCUGCCAUUUUAGGAAAUCAUGACCAGGAGUCCACUAUGAACCGUGCAGAGCUGAUGACUUUCCUCUCGCUUAUGGAUUUUUCUCUCUCUCAAAUCAAUCCACCUCUCGAAGAUGGCGCGGAAAGAGGCGCAUUGAGGUCAAUUGAUGGCUUUGGGAAUUACCGCCUCAGAGUACACGGUGCACCUGGUUCUGUUCUGUCAAAUAGCACCGUCUUUGACCUCUUCUUUCUUGACAGUGGAGAUAGAGAAACUGUCCAAGGUAGACGAACAUAUGGAUGGAUCAAGGACUCUCAACUUAGUUGGCUUCAAGAUGCUUCUAAACAGGGUCUUAAUCCUGAUCCAGCGCUAGCCUUCUUCCACAUUCCAAUCCCGGAAGUCCGUGAUCUGUGGUACACACCCUUUUUUGGCCAGUUUCAGGAGGGUGUGGCGUGCUCCAUCGUGCAAUCAGGAGUCUUAAAUACCUUUUUGUCCAUGGGAAAUGUAAAAGCCGCGUUCAUAGGACACGACCAUGUCAAUGAUUUCUGCGGAAAUCUAAAAGGGGUAUGGUUUUGUUACGGUGGAGGAUUUGGAUACCAUGCAUAUGGAAGACGAAAUUGGCACAGAAGAGCGAGACUGAUUGAGGCUAAGCUCGGGAAAGGAAAAGACACGUGGACAGGAGUUCAACGUAUCAAGACGUGGAAACGUCUAGACGAUGGAGACUUGAGCAAGAUAGACGAACAAGUCCUAUGGGAAGCUUCCUACUCGUUUCUGAAGUGACCUAGGGACAAGGCAAAUAAGUAAGGAUACAACGCUGGUGUGUAUAUUAUUAACUGGAAACCUACGUUGUUGUCUCCCGAGAGCUUGGUCUGUCUCAUUUUAGUUUUAUCACUGCCCUUUUCUAUAUAAAGCUCACAGGUCGAGAGAGACAAGAGACAGUUGAUUAGAGAGAACUCUGUCGGAAAAUGGAUAACGUCGACCAAGAGUUCAACAAUUACUGGGAAACAAACUCCUUCCUCCAAAACGAAGACUUCGAAUAUGACAGCUGGCCUUUGGAGGAAGCGAUUUCUGGGUCGUAUGAUUCGAGUUCGCCUGAUGGGGCGGCUUCGUCUCCGGCUUCUAAGAAUAUUGUGUCGGAGAGAAA